GUGCUCGUUUUGGCAGCACAUAUACUAAAAUUGGAACGAUACAGAAAAGAUUAGCAUGGCCCCCGCGCAAGGAUGACACACAAAUUCAUGAAGCAUUCCAUAUUUUU
RNAcentral lists this small nuclear RNA (107 nucleotides) under Equus asinus (donkey). The record is from RNAcentral. Lineage: Eukaryota; Metazoa; Chordata; Mammalia; Perissodactyla; Equidae.